Long non-coding RNA from Apis laboriosa (Himalayan honeybee), 1318 nucleotides. RefSeq lists it as uncharacterized. The record is from RefSeq and is a predicted model, not a curated record. NCBI's taxonomy places the organism in Eukaryota, Metazoa, Arthropoda, Insecta, Hymenoptera, Apidae. The transcript is spliced from 4 exons.
GAGAGAAAUAUCGAGUGAUAUAAAUAAAAAUGUUUAAAACUGUUUCUACAGCUCGUAGGAAAGGGAUGGAGGAAUACCCGUUCAACUGAUUCACAGAAGUGUGGCGGAAAUGAAGAAGAAAAGCAUUCUCGUUCUCAUUGUGGAAAAUAGUGGCGCGGUGGAAGGACAAGAAGAGGGCGGGAAAAAGUCAGCCGGGGAUCAACGGUGUUGCGCCGUGGAGGAUGGCUUCGCCGUUGAGAAUCGCGCAAAGGUAAAGUAGUUCGGAGAAGCAGCAUCCAAAGUAGUAAUCCUUCAUCCUAAGUAUCAUGCUGAGUUUCUGAUCCUUGUCGACGAGCCCUCUGCAUGCAACCCACAUGAGUGGUGACCAGCAAGACCGAUCGCUUCUAUGUAAAAUAAGUUGAAAUUUCGACUUAAUUCCAGAGCACAAAAAUUAUUCGAAGAGGAUGCGUAGCGAAGAAAGGAUUAAAAAUCGCUGAUUCAGACUAUAGAUUUUAAAAGAUCAUCGUGGUUACGAAGAAAUGUCCAGUUAUUCUUGUUUUCAAUUAUCCUUUUCUCACGUAAGCCAGGUGGUCGAAGAGGAAGCGAGAAGAAAAAGAAGAAGAAGAAGAAAAAUACGUACACACCAGUAGCAACGACUUGGUCAUUCGAAUACCUGUGUUGGCACGUCAACUGCGCGUGUUAAAGCGCGACAACGAAGAAUGAAAAAGAACAGCUGGAACAGUCACGGGCCAACAAUUAGAAUACCCCUUCACGGAUACUCGAUAUUCUACUGAAAAUGUACGCGUGGACCAAUCGUGACACGCGUGCACAAUUUUCCUAACCACGCUCCGCGAAAGUCCAAAUCCUUUUCUCAACAGGAUUGUACACAGAAGUGCAAUAUUGGAUUCUGUUUUUCCGUUGUCUCGCGUGGACGAACAAACAGUACGCGGAGCUACUUGGAAUGCCGGGUCACGACUCGAAAUACGAGAUGUCGUGUAGGUAUGUGGCGAAAUGUGGUGGUCGGUUUUUAUUUCGCUGGCGAUCGCGGCUGGCACGAUAACGUGAUUCCAACCGGCGCCUAUGAAAUCGAAAGAUGAGCAUUGGUGGAUAACGGGACACGGAGAAUGCUUGCGCACUUUCGAUCAGGGCGAAUUCAAAAUUCUAGAUGGGGUUUAGAGAUUUCGCGGAAUUGCUGUCUAUAUUGUUUGACCACCCGCCACUUCUUGGAAACACUUCGUGUAUAAUUGCGUUUGUAUUGGGAUAUUUGUAAAAAAUGAAAUUAUUGGAAUGUUAUAAUUAAAAUAUUGUUAGGAAAAUAUAUAAUAUAUUUUAUGUUCUU